RNAcentral lists this ribosomal RNA (774 nucleotides) under uncultured Neocallimastigales. Its description in RNAcentral is "partial large subunit ribosomal RNA". It matches the Rfam family "Eukaryotic large subunit ribosomal RNA", at positions 26 to 637 of the family's 3401-position model. Lineage: Eukaryota; Fungi; Neocallimastigomycota; Neocallimastigomycetes; Neocallimastigales. The record is from RNAcentral.
CGCAUCUGUGCAUGCAGCAUAUCAAUAAGCGGAGGAAAAGAAACUAACAAGGAUUCCCCUAGUAACGGCGAGUGAAGCGGGAAGAGCUCAAAUUUGAAAUCUUAAAGGGUUUCCCUUUACGAAUUGUAGUUUAAAGAAGUGUUUUCUGUUGAGGUUUUGGUAAAAGUUCUUUGGAAUAGGACAUCAUAGAGGGUGAGAAUCCCGUAUUUGACCUUUACUUUCAACUUUGUGAUACACUUUCAAAGAGUCGGAUUGUUUGGGAAUGCAGUCCAAACUGGGUGGUAAAUUUCAUCUAAGCUAAAUAUUGGCGAGAGACCGAUAGCGAACAAGUACCGUGAGGGAAAGAUGAAAAGAACUUUGAAAAGAGAGUUAAACAGUACGUGAAAUUGUCAAAAGGGAAGCGUUUGACACCAUGUGUUGUCUUUCUGAAAAUCAAUUAAAGAACUGUUUAUGCUAAGUUGUUUAGACUUUAUCAGCUAACUGUUUAGUUUUGAGCUUUUCUUUAAUGCACUUUUCAGUUAACAAGUCAACAUCAAUUUCUUUUGCUGUAAAAAAGCUUGAGGAAGGUGGCUUGAGAUUCGUCUUAAGUGUUUAUAGCCUCUUGCCUAUGCAGUCGGAGAGAUUGAGGUCUGCAGCGUAGAUCCUUCGGGGCUAAAUGCAUUUGUGCUAAGUUAUAGCAUUUUAUAGACAACUUGUUGACUAUGAUUUGUCUUGUAGCUUACUCGCUUAUGUUAUUUUACCUACGCUUAGGAUGUUGACAGCAGUAUAGACUGU